This 291-nucleotide unclassified non-coding RNA is filed under the name uncultured fungus. Its description in RNAcentral is "sequence contains ITS1". Lineage: Eukaryota; Fungi. The record is from RNAcentral.
UAUAACGAUUUAUUAUUAUUCCAACCCUUCUCUCUAUAACAGGAGUGUGUAUAUAAGACAUAUAGAUCGAUCGACAAGGAAAGCCCGCAAAAGUGGAUAUUCGCAAAGCAGUCCCCAGUUGUCUGAAGGAGAGGCCCUCAGAGACGCCAAAGAUCUACACAAGUGGAUGCACAAAAGAGAUGGAGAAAUGAAGAAAAAUAACAAGCGUGCACGGGGAGGGGCCCUCCCCAGCGACAGCUUGCUACGUUGCUUAUUUCGAUAAUGAUCCUUCCGCAGGUUCACCUACGGAAA